This 1185-nucleotide long non-coding RNA is filed under the name Struthio camelus australis. Its description in RNAcentral is "lncRNA (ENSSCUG00000016314.1)". Lineage: Eukaryota; Metazoa; Chordata; Aves; Struthioniformes; Struthionidae. The record is from RNAcentral.
AUGUUCCCAAAGUUGGACAAUUCCCAGCUCCGGUGUCACCCCAGGUCAGACAUUUUCCAGCUCCAAUGUCCCCAACAUCAGACUUUUCCAGCUCCUGGUGUUGCCCCAGGUCGGAUGAUUCCCGGCUCCGGUGUCCCCAAAGAUGGACAAUCCCCAGCUCUUGGUGUCCCCCCAGGUCGGAUGAUUCCCAACUCCGAUGUUAUUCGAGGACAGAUGUUUCCUGGCUUUGAUGUUGCCCCAGGUUGCACGUUCCCCAGCUCCGAUGUCCCCAACAUCAGACUUUUCUCAGCUCCGAUGUCACCCCAGGUCGGAUGUUUCCCAGCUUUUGGGGACCCCCAGGACGAACGUUUCCCAGCUCCGGAUGGCCUCAACAUGAGAUGUUUCCCUGCUCCAGGAGACCCCCAAGGUCAGACGUUUCCUGGUUUCGACGUUGCCCCGAAGUCGGACGUUUCCCAGCUCCCACGUUCCUCAACACGUGUUGGAUGUUUCCCGGCUCUGAUGUCCCCCAACAUCAGAUGUUUCCUGCCUCCGACGUCCCCCCAGGUCAGACAUUUGCUGUCGCCGCUGCUGUCCUUGUUCAUUGGCUCCGGUGUCCCCCCAGGUCGGACAGUUGUUGGCUCUGACAUCCGCUUCGGUGUUGGUCAGCUCCUAUGUCCCCCACGUUGGACGUUUGCCGGCGCCGGCGCUUUUGGUGUUUGCCAGUUCCAGUAUCGGCUGCUUUUGGUGUCCACCAGCCCCAAUAUCUGCCACGUUUGGUGUCCACCAGCUCCAGGAGCCGCAGGUCGGACAUUUCGUGGCUCUCAACUUCCCCCAGGUCAGACAUUUUCCAGUGCCAAAACCCACCAGUUUUGGGGUCCACCAGCUCCAACAUCUACCAGUUUCAGCGUCCACCAGCUCCAACACCCGCAGGUCGGACGUUUCCCCGUCUCCGCUGCCCACUGGCUUCCAACGUCCCCCACGUCAGGCACUUUCCAGUGCCGAAAACCACCGCUUUUGGUGUUUGCUGGCUCCAUCUCCUACAGGUUGGACGUCCCACAGCUUGGACGUCCACUGGCUUCAACGUCCCCCAGGUCCAACAAUUCUCCCAUAAUCAGAGCCCUAUGGGUGCUCCUGCCCCAUAACCAGACACCUAUGGGUUCUUCCAGCCCAUAACUGGACCCUUACGGGUGCUCCCACCCCAUAACU